GACGAACGCUGGCGGCGUGCUUAACACAUGCAAGUCGAACGGAAAGGCCCUGCUUUUGUGGGUUGCUCGAGUGGCGAACGGGUGAGUAACACGUGAGUAUCCUGCCCUUGACUUUGGGAUAAAUUCAGGAAACUGGGGCUAUUACCGGAUAGGAGCUCCUGCUGCAUGGUGGGGGUUGGAAAGUUUCGGCGGUUGGGGAUGUACUCGCGGCUUAUCAGCUUGUUGGUGUAGUAGUGGCUUACCAAGGCUUUGACGGAUAGCCGGCCUGAGAGGGUGACCGGGCACAUUGGGACUGCGAGACGGACCAGACUCCUACGGGAGGCAGUAGUGGGGAAUAUUGCGCAAUGGGCGGAAGCCUGAUGCAGCAACGCCGCGUGCGGGAUGACGGCCUUCGGGUUGUAAACCGCUUUCGCCUGUGACGAAGCGUGAGUGACGGUAAUGAGUAAAGAAGCACCGGCUAACUACGUG
This 468-nucleotide ribosomal RNA is filed under the name uncultured bacterium. RNAcentral describes it as "partial 16S ribosomal RNA". It matches the Rfam family "Bacterial small subunit ribosomal RNA", at positions 28 to 507 of the family's 1533-position model. The record is from RNAcentral.